This 477-nucleotide ribosomal RNA is filed under the name uncultured Planctomycetales bacterium. RNAcentral describes it as "bacterial SSU rRNA". It matches the Rfam family "Bacterial small subunit ribosomal RNA", at positions 365 to 832 of the family's 1533-position model. Lineage: Bacteria; Pseudomonadati; Planctomycetota; Planctomycetia; Planctomycetales. The record is from RNAcentral.
UUCGCAAUGCCCGAAAGGGUAACGAAGCGACGCCGCGUGCGGGAAGAAGGCCUUCGGGUUGUAAACCGCUGUCGGGAGUUAAGAAAUGUAAGGAUGUUAAUAGCAUCUUUGCUUGACUAAGGCUCCGGAGGAAGCCACGGCUAACUCUGUGCCAGCAGCCGCGGUAAUACAGAGGCGGCAAGCGUUGUUCGGAAUUAUUGGGCGUAAAGAGCACGUAGGCGGCUAUGUAAGUCGGUUGUGAAAGCCUUCCGCUCAACGGGAGAACAGCAUCCGAUACUGCAUGGCUUGAGUGCGGGAGGGGAGAGUGGAACUUCUGGUGGAGCGGUGAAAUGCGUAGAUAUCAGAAGGAACGCCGGCGGCGAAAGCGGCUCUCUGGCCCAUAACUGACGCUGAGUGUGCGAAAGCUAGGAGAGCAAACGGGAUUAGAUACCCCGGUAGUCCUAGCCGUAAACGAUGGGCACUAAGUAGAGGGGUUUU